Pan troglodytes (chimpanzee) is the source of this 3304-nucleotide RNA transcript. It is a transcript of the gene named adaptor related protein complex 1 subunit gamma 2, with no coding region annotated. The transcript has 22 exons. NCBI's taxonomy places the organism in Eukaryota, Metazoa, Chordata, Mammalia, Primates, Hominidae. The record is from RefSeq and is a predicted model, not a curated record.
GCUGCCUGAGAUGGAAAUCGGGGGAGGAAGCUCGCGGAAGAAACAGCGGAGGGUCGUGGAAAAAAAGCAAUGGCUGAGCUAGGGAUGGGGUACCAGGUAGGGGGAGGAAACGGUAGAGAGAAAUAGGUGGGGCUCGCGCGCAUGCUCAAUAGGAAGGGGCGCCGGUGGGGUGCGGACGCAUGCGUAGUGGGCUUCUCGGGCGGUGGGGUGGGCGCGGAAUUUGGAGACCCACUUCGGGAAAGGAUGGUGGUGCCUUCGCUGAAGCUUCAGGACCUCAUCGAAGAGAUUCGCGGGGCCAAGACUCAGGCCCAGGAGCGGGAGGUGAUCCAAAAGGAGUGUGCCCACAUCCGGGCCUCCUUCCGCGACGGGGACCCAGUGCACAGGCACCGGCAGCUGGCCAAACUGCUCUACGUCCACAUGUUGGGCUACCCCGCCCACUUUGGACAGAUGGAGUGCCUGAAACUGAUCGCCUCCUCCAGAUUCACAGACAAGAGGGUGGGCUACCUGGGGGCCAUGCUUCUAUUGGAUGAGAGGCACGAUGCCCACCUGCUCAUUACCAACAGCAUCAAGAAUGACCUGAGCCAGGGGAUUCAGCCAGUACAAGGCCUGGCCUUGUGCACUUUGAGCACCAUGGGCUCUGCUGAGAUGUGCCGAGACCUGGCCCCAGAGGUGGAGAAACUGCUCCUGCAGCCCAGUCCCUACGUGCGCAAGAAGGCUAUUCUGACUGCAGUGCACAUGAUCCGGAAGGUCCCUGAACUCUCCAGUGUCUUCCUCCCACCCUGUGCCCAACUGCUUCAUGAGCGUCACCAUGGUAAGGCUGUGGGGCCCCCCAUCCUUUGCUUCAGGUCUAUGGACAGAAGAAUUGAAAAUCGGAUGGGAACCCCAGCUCAUAGGAGAAUGGUAGUGCACACACACAGGCACACACGCAAUAGACUCUCUUGCCCCUGGCCCCCACCAUUCACUUCCCCGACCCUGACCCCAGGCAUCCUGCUGGGCACCAUCACGCUGAUCACGGAGCUCUGCGAACGAAGCCCUGCAGCCCUCAGGCACUUCCGAAAGGUGGUACCCCAGCUGGUACACAUCCUCCGGACUCUGGUGACAAUGGGAUACUCCACAGAACACAGCAUAUCUGGAGUCAGCGACCCCUUCCUGCAGGUCCAGAUACUUCGUCUGCUUCGGAUCCUGGGCCGGAACCACGAGGAGAGCAGUGAGACCAUGAAUGACUUGCUGGCCCAGGUGGCCACUAACACGGACACCAGCCGAAAUGCCGGAAAUGCGGUCCUGUUUGAGACAGUACUCACCAUCAUGGAUAUCCGCUCUGCAGCUGGCCUACGGGUUCUAGCUGUCAACAUUCUUGGCCGCUUCCUACUCAACAGUGACAGGAACAUUAGGUAUGUAGCCCUGACAUCACUGCUUCGACUGGUGCAGUCUGAUCACAGUGCUGUGCAGCGGCAUCGGCCUACUGUGGUGGAAUGUCUACGGGAAACUGAUGCCUCCCUCAGCCGGAGAGCCCUGGAACUAAGCCUGGCUCUGGUAAAUAGCUCCAAUGUGCGAGCCAUGAUGCAAGAGCUGCAGGCCUUUCUGGAGUCCUGCCCUCCUGACCUACGGGCUGACUGUGCCUCAGGCAUCCUGCUGGCUGCAGAGAGGUUUGCUCCAACCAAACGCUGGCACAUAGACACCAUCCUGCAUGUGCUGACAACGGCGGGCACCCAUGUGCGGGAUGAUGCAGUGGCCAACCUGACCCAGCUGAUUGGGGGGGCCCAGGAGCUACAUGCCUACUCUGUGCGCCGCCUCUACAAUGCCCUGGCAGAAGACAUUUCCCAGCAACCACUGGUGCAGGUGGCAGCCUGGUGCAUUGGGGAGUAUGGGGACCUCCUGCUGGCGGGGAACUGCGAGGAGAUUGAGCCCCUUCAGGUGGACGAAGAGGAAGUGCUGGCAUUGCUGGAAAAGGUGCUGCAGUCCCAUAUGUCCCUGCCAGCCACUCGAGGAUAUGCCCUCACAGCCCUCAUGAAGCUCAGCACUCGCCUCUGUGGGGACAACAACCGCAUCCGCCAGGUGGUGUCCAUCUACGGGAGCUGCUUGGACGUGGAGCUGCAGCAGCGGGCUGUGGAGUAUGACACACUCUUCCGGAAAUACGACCACAUGAGGUGUGUCCAGCACUGUGCUGCAGCAUGGGACCCAAACCCCUGCCCUCUCCCAAAUGCCCUUUUCUAGGUACAAGGGCCUCAUCCUCACCUGUGUUCUUCCAUAUCCACGGAAAUCAGAAGGGUACUUCUGAGCCACCAUGUGCCCAGGGCUCCAUAUUCCUAGUCCUCAUCCAAGACGCCUCUUGUGAAAGGCCCAGAGACCACACAGAGGCACACUUGCAUUCCAUCCUCUCAGGGCUGCCAUCCUGGAAAAAAUGCCUCUUGUGGAGCGAGAUGGCCCUCAGGCUGAUGAGGAAGCAAAGGAAAGCAAAGAAGCAGCCCAGCUUUCAGAAGCAGCCCCAGUGCCCACAGAGCCCCAGGCCUCACAGCUCCUGGAUCUGCUAGAUCUCUUGGAUGGGGCUUCUGGGGAUGUCCAGCAUCCUCCCCCUCUGGACCCCUCCCCAGGAGGUGCCCUGAUACACCUGCUUGACCUUCCCUGUGUACCUCCACCCCCAGCGUCUUGCUCUGUCACCCAGGCUGGAGUGCAGUGGCGUGAUCUCGGCUCACUGCAACCUCUGCCUCCCGGGUUCAAGCUGUUCUUGUGUCUCAGCCUCCCAAGUCCGGGCCUCAGCUCCCAUCCCAGAUCUCAAAGUGUUUGAGCGUGAGGGAGUACAGCUGAAUCUGUCUUUCAUUCGACCCCCUGAAAACCCUGCUUUGCUGUUAAUCACCGUCACUGCCACCAACUUCUCAGAGGGUGAUGUCACCCAUUUCAUCUGCCAGGCUGCUGUGCCCAAGAGUCUCCAGCUGCAGCUGCAGGCCCCCAGUGGGAACACAGUUCCAGCUCGGGGUGGCCUUCCUAUCACCCAGCUCUUCAGAAUCCUCAAUCCUAACAAGGCCCCCCUGCGGCUAAAGCUGCGCCUCACCUACGACCACUUUCACCAGUCGGUGCAGGAGAUCUUUGAGGUGAACAACUUGCCUGUGGAAUCGUGGCAGUAACUGUCUCCACUCACAGCCUGAAAUUCUCCUGUGUCCCAAACCCCAGGGGGCCCCAGCAGCUUCGAACCUACACCUGAGGGCUACCAGCAGGUGGCGCUCUGGCUUUGCACUGCAAAAACUGGGGACCAGCCCCCUUCUCCCACAAAUAAAGCCCAAUAAAGCCUGAGAAGUGAGGAAAGCCA